AGCGAACGCUGGCGGCAGGCUUAACACAUGCAAGUCGAGCGGGCACUUCGGCGUCAGCGGCAGACGGGUGAGUAACACGUGGGAACGUACCCUUCGGUUCGGAAUAACGCUGGGAAACUAGCGCUAAUACCGGAUACGCCCUUUUGGGGAAAGGUUUACUGCCGAAGGAUCGGCCCGCGUCUGAUUAGCUAGUUGGUGGGGUAUGGCCUACCAAGGCGACGAUCAGUAGCUGGUCUGAGAGGAUGAUCAGCCACACUGGGACUGAGACACGGCCCAGACUCCUACGGGAGGCAGCAGUGGGGAAUAUUGGACAAUGGGCGCAAGCCUGAUCCAGCCAUGCCGCGUGAGUGAUGAAGGCCUUAGGGUUGUAAAGCUCUUUUGUCCGGGACGAUAAUGACGGUACCGGAAGAAUAAGCCCCGGCUAACUUCGUG
Molecule: ribosomal RNA, 432 nt
Filed under: uncultured bacterium
Lineage: Bacteria
Description: partial 16S ribosomal RNA
Rfam family: Bacterial small subunit ribosomal RNA
Source: RNAcentral